Long non-coding RNA from Triticum aestivum (bread wheat), 2932 nucleotides. RefSeq lists it as uncharacterized. The transcript has 6 exons. NCBI's taxonomy places the organism in Eukaryota, Viridiplantae, Streptophyta, Magnoliopsida, Poales, Poaceae. The record is from RefSeq and is a predicted model, not a curated record.
GCCUCCUCGAUCCCAUCUCCACCUCCAGCCCACCGCCACCUCCUGCCCCGCCCCGCUUCGCCGUGCGCCGCGCGCCGCCCGUCCCCGCCGCCGCCACCUCCUGCUCGGCCCCGCCCCGCGACCCCUGCGGCCGCCACUUCCCGCCCCGCCCUGCCGCGUGCGGCCCCUCUUCUCCAUCUCUCCAUCGCCAUCUCCCUCCUCCCUCCCUGUUCCACCCCCACCUCUACUCCCAGCAGGCUCAACCAUGGUAGUCAACACGGGGACGUGAGCGUGCACGGGUGGCGUCGGUGGACGAGAUCAAAAUUGGUUGAUGAUGGAGUGCAAGUAGCACAAGUUAAUCAUGUGCACUUCCCAUUAUUGAAUAUCAGAUAUGCCAAACUAAAGGAGGCGGCUAGAGGAAGCAUUGGAGGCCAAGUUCAGCAGCAACGGUCAGCUGUCGUCGGUGGCCGGCCGGCGACAUUUGCGAAGGAAUGAGGGAGGGCGGAGACCGACAACAGGGGGCUGUCGAACUAGCCAAGCUACCAUCACUCCAUCAUCCCCGGAGAUCGUUCGGUGAUGUCCAAUGCAUCAUGUCAUGGACUGGAGCGCGGACUGCCCUGCGCAAGUAGGUUAUGUGCUUGAGACGAUUGAAUGUCCGGACAUCGGUAGGAAUUCCUGAUGACUGAGGAAAUUUUGGCAGACAUUCUUGAUGGUAUAUUAAAUCUUGGUUUGAUGGGUACUUUUCUGAAGAAACUAUUGAGUCCCAGGCGGAUCAACUUAUUUUCACGUCAGGUUUUAGGUGUUUCCCAGCUAGGCAGCAAUUUCUUCAGAAGACCACACCGCGGGCAUUAUCUUAAGUGGACCAUUGACCUGCAAUUUUUGCCUUUCGCAUGUACAGGCUUAUUAUGUGUGGAUUUUGAAAGCUAUUUCUACAUAUUCUAUCUCCUUUGAGACUAAACUGUGUAGUUGCUCUGCAUCAGUUCACCUGCUCAAUAAUUGUGCUAGAGGAGUUAGUCAUAGUAUGUCUAGAAAUCCCUUGGAGCACUACUCUAGGUAACAUUGUUAUGUUGUCUUUGCUAGAAAACUGUAUAUGUAGUCUAGAAUUGGGUGUACAUGUUGGUUCAGCCCAUGGACGUUUUCUUUGAGAUUCACUUAUGGACCUUGCAGUAAUGUACUCCCUCGGUAAACAAAUAUAAGACAUUUUAGGUCACUAAAGUAGUUACCUGAAAUAUCUUAUAUUAGUUUAUAGAGGGAGUAUUAAUUUUUGUCUUGAUGCAUUUUAAAUUAAACUAAAAAGUGUCUAUCUGAAUUUUGAGCUGAAUCUGAACCAUGGUUUGCAUUCAGCUAUAUUUCUAAAACAUUGCACAAAGUCCUAUAUUUAGGAUGCCAAGUUUCUUCUCUCCUGUAGGAAAUUUUGGCCCUAUAUAUUCUAAAUUUUUGUCAUAUUCAGUUUUAAUGGUCGGAAAGAAACAAUGUUAUUUUUUAUUAUCAAAUGGAGUCAAGUUGCUAAUCUGUAAUUUACAAAGACGUAAGGAAGUGUUAUUUUUGUGUGUCGUUGCUUAUGCCUUUUAUAUUUAGAGGAUAUUAUGGGCUUAUGUCCAGUAAUGGUAAUAGAGUUGUUCCCACUAUAGAUUUCCAUUGUGUAUUAGAAAAGGUAUGCACCUGGAAUUAUAGGCCUUGCCCAGUUGUAAGAUUUUUAUAUGUAGUUUAUUUUUUUCACUAGAGAUAUUUAGUUUGUUUAUGACAACUAGAGAAGGAUGAUGAGGCAGACGAACAACUGAAAUAUUGAUUAAUUGUAAUGAUGAAUGCAUUUACAUUUAUGAGUUUUUCCACCACUUUUCGACUAUCUCUAAUAAUGAUGGUUAGUCUAUUUUCACUUCUUGAUUUUACCGACUAAAUUGAUUUUUGGUCUAAAAUUUUGUACAUAUAGCUUUCCCCAAUACCAAAAGUCAACAGUCAUACUUAAAUAACCAUUCACAACCCUUUCUUUAAUCCUUAUGCUUUUUUGUUUCUAUUCUACUUGGAACAGAGGAAAAUGCCCUUAUGGAGCUUUUGAGCUUUUUGUACAGUGGAAAGUUAACAAACAACCGAGCCUGCUAUUCUGGUUGACAUCUUAAUGGAUGCCAAUAAAUUUGAGGUUCUCUCUUGCAUGAGGCAUUGUAGCCAGUUGCUCUCAAGCUUUCAUAUGACCACAGAAUCUGCAUUGAUCUACCUAGACUAUCCAUGAUUCACUUUGAUGGCAGUUGAAGUUCACCAUUUGAUAGUUGCAGCUAAGGAUUUCCUUGCCAACAAAUACAGUGAUAUGCAUAAGUUCCGAAAUGAAGUGAUGAACAUGCCACUUGCUGGGAUUGAAGCCAUAUUUUCAAGCACUGACCUACAUGUGAAAAAAUGAAGAUGUCUUGUACCGUCUGUUGCUCAACUGGGCCCGUGUGCAAUACCAGAAUUAGAAGAAAGACGUAAGAUCUUGAGUUCUCAUUUGGUUCCGCUGGUGCGCUUUAGUCAUAUGACUUGUGAGGCACUUCAGGAGAUUUUCACAUGCACUGACGCUGACAUAGACCAUGAGCAAAGCUUAUCACUAGGGUACUUAUGUGCAAAGCUUAUCCAGCACACUAACCAGGCCAGGUGCUCUUGCAGCAUGUGCAACCUCUUGUUUGUUAUAUGCAGAGCUAGCUUACAAGUACAGGCAUCUGAAAGUGGUUCUGUUUGAGACCGCAACGAGAUGGAGGCGGUGGUCUUGACACCCAUGCUGGAGACCAUCUGGUGGUACGAUUGCUAUCAAAUGCAGCUUGGUUUGUGUGUGCAUCUCCUAGCUUUUGUAUCCGCGUGUAGUGUUAUUGGUUAAUUAUGUUGUGUCCUUACUGAUCUCAAGUCUCAAUAGUAUGUGAAUGGGUGUAAUCAGAACAAACAUGUUUAUCUUAUUUGUGGUAGGAAAUGGUGUAUAUUUCUUUCGUCU